GGGCGGGGGAGGGGGAGGCGAGGAGGCGGCGCCUGUGUCGGCGCUGGAGGUUGUGUCCUUCCUGGGCAAGCUGCUGUGCGCAGUCGCGGCGCUGAAGGCGGCCCUCUACCUGCUCCGCAGGGUGUGCCUCGCCAUGGCCUGGAAGUCGGGCGGCGCCAGCCACGCCGAGCUCAUCCACAACCUCCGCAAAAAUGGAAUAAUUAAAUCAGACAAGGUAUUUGAAGUAAUGCUGGCUACAGACCGUUGCCAUUAUGCAAAAUACAACCCGUAUAUGGAUUCUCCUCAGUCUAUAGGUUUCCAAGCAACAAUCAGUGCUCCACAUAUGCAUGCAUAUGCUCUUGAACUUCUGUCUGAUCAGUUACAUGAAGGAGCCAAAGCACUUGAUGUAGGUUCUGGAAGUGGAAUCCUUACAGCAUGCUUUUCACGAAUGGUUGGUCCCAAAGGACAAGUUGUAGGAAUUGAUCAUAUCAAAGAACUAGUAGAUGACUCAAUAAAUAAUGUCAAAAAAGAUGAUCCCACAUUGCUGUCUUCAGGAAGAGUGAAACUGAUUGUGGGAGAUGGAAGAAUGGGAUAUGCAGAAGAAGCUCCCUAUGAUGCGAUUCAUGUAGGAGCUGCAGCACCAGUUGUGCCCCAAGCACUUAUAGAUCAGUUAAACCUGGCGGAAGAUUGAUAUUACCGGUUGGUCCUGCAGGGGGAAACCAGAUGCUUGAACAGUAUGACAAACUAGAAGAUGGCAGUGUCAAAAUGAAGCCUCUGAUGGGAGUGAUAUAUGUGCCUUUAACAGAUAAAGAGAAGCAGUGGUCCAGGUGGAAGUGAUUUUCUGUUCCACUUACUUCUUCCACACACACGCAAGGGAUGAAUUGUAAAAGCUACAUCAUCUUGACCCAAACAUAGUGUUACAGUGGACUGCUCAUCUCCAGUUCUAAAAGCUUUUUGAAAACCAACAGCAUUGCAGCUUGUUUUGGACUUCGUUAUACUGUUGUUAUCAGCAUGGAAAAGCGUGGUGUUUGUUUUAUUUUCUUAGAUGCUCAAGGCAAAUCUGAUAAAGACAUGGUGGAAAGUU
Cygnus olor (mute swan) is the source of this 1063-nucleotide RNA transcript. It is a transcript of the gene named protein-L-isoaspartate (D-aspartate) O-methyltransferase, with no coding region annotated. The transcript is spliced from 8 exons. The record is from RefSeq and is a predicted model, not a curated record. Lineage: Eukaryota; Metazoa; Chordata; Aves; Anseriformes; Anatidae.